UUGGAGCUUAUUGGUCGACAUACGACUCAAUCCUGGGGACAAGCCUCAUACAAAGAUUUCCUAGCUAUCUAAUCAUAAGUUUUCGUCACGAGGGGUAAAGCAAAAGGACACAUUACAAUUGUUAGGAAGAGAUGAGUGAAUAUCGUCAACAAUGGCUAAGGUGUCUUAAGGAAUAUCAAUCUUCCUUGAGAGAGCAUCGAUCAAUAAAAGAUGUAUUGCCAUGGUGAAGUUAAAUAAGGGAGGAGCCAAGCUUGAUACCUGAGGCGGCAACCGCUAAUGCAGAGGAUAAGUGCAUUUGGGCGUUGGCUCCAGUCAGUAGAUUUCCUUGACUGUCACGGGCUAGGGCUAUGCCUUGGAGGUUGAGACCUGGAAUGCCAUAUCACAGUUGAUCUUGAUGGCAUUCGGGGACCAAUGAGUCGAAGCUUGAGGUCUCUAAGAUGCGGUGGGCGAUUCAAGAAGUUGGAUCCAUGAAAGCUAUAGCAUCGAAGUUCAAAGCUCUCCAAGUAGGAAGGGCCAAGGGACAAGAAAAGAACGUGUUCCAAAGUUUCACAUCCCGACUAGGGUCGAGUAAGAAAAAAAAGAAAAAAAAAAGACUCAAAUUGAGGUUAUUUGGACAGUUUAUGGAAUUUUAUUUAAUUUAUAAUUAGUUUUAAUUUUCAUUAUAUAAAAAAAUAGUUUUAUAUAAAUAUAUAUUUUAAAAAUAUCAUAUAAAAUUUUUUUAUACUUUCGCUCAAAUAAUAUUUUAAAAAAUCAUAAAACAAAUCUCAUUUUGUCAAAACCAAAUUAAAAAUCCAAAGCUAAAAAUUGAUAUGAAAAAGUUGGAAAAUUAAAUCUAAUCAAAUUAUGAUGGUGAUUUGAAACAUUAAAAAACAAAUCCGACUAAAUCAAACUGAUAUCACCUCUAGUCCCUACCUAAAACAACUAGUAGAAAAGAUUUGAUAUUGGGUGAAGAGGGUGUUGACACUGUAUUUGGUACAAUGUUGAGAUUUCAAACACUUCCCCAAUCAACUUUGUUCCAUGCAAUUCGAAGGAGAGGCAGAAGUUGUAUCAUAGGAAGUGGCCAUCGUUAGUAGGACUCAUGCCAAUAGGGAUUUAAGUUGACAAAUACUCUGUUUGAGUCAAGAACAGCCUCGCCCAGGUGUUGUUGAAGUGAGUGACUACUGACUAGUAAUGGCUGAUUAAAGUGGAAGACGUCUUUCUCAUUUUAGGCGCAGGAGAAAAACUGAAUGCCGCACUCCAAUUAAUAAAAAGUGUCCAGUGAACAGAAAAAAUCUUUUACAUAUUUGGGUUCAAAUCUAAAAUAUCACUUCUCAAAAAUAAUUAUAUAAAUCAGUUAAAAUUUAAUAUAUUUUUUAUGUUACUCAUUUUAUAUUAAAAAUUUAUUAACACUCAAAUUAUAACUACUUUUUAAAUUUAAAUUUUGAAAAUUUGACUAAUUUUUUAUAAAUAAAACUAUAGAAUUAAAUUCUAAAUUUAUGGAAAAUAGAGUAUAUUUUAACUUUUAUUUAACUGCGAUGAAGUUUGCACAAGUACAUUGUACAUGCAUCCAUGGCGGUGUAAUUGGAAAUAAAAAAAAAAUCCCGUCUAUAAUUUAGAAUUGCUAAUAUUUUCCAAUAAUUAUAAAAUCUGGACAAUUUACAAGUUUGACGAAGGUGUCUAGUAUGGCUAAUUCCAGCUAAAGGAGUCAAUUACAUGCAUAUGGUCCUUGUUAUUUGCCAAUCGGAUCCAAGACCAUGCCAGAAAUGGUUGCUUUCUAUUUUAAUAGCAAUAAAUACAGUAAUUAUUCGAUAAUCUGUUUCAAAUAAAAAUUAAUAACUUCACAGAAUAGACAUUUUUCCAGGGAUCACCUUCAUAAAACAGAUGUGGGAACAAAAAAAAAAAAAGCCAAACGGAAACAGUUAACUGUAAUCUCAAAAUCAAAUCAACUCAUAAGAUGCUAAAAAAAAGGCACAAAAAAUAAGCAGAAAACAGGAUAAAAUCCUUCAAAAAAUUAAAGAAAAACCUCCAAAUCAAGAUGACUGACAAAGAUCUCUACAUGGAAAACGAAAAGAAAACAAGAUGAUGGAAGGCAAAAGAAUCAGCCUCUGAUGUGCUUGACUUUGUACCAACCUUUCUUGCAUGAUUCUCCCACGAUCUUCACACCCUUCUUGAAGAAAACCUUGAGCUCCUUGGCUCUCUCCUUUAUUUGCUGCUCGAACCCAGCCAUGAAAGCGAUACCGAGAAGAAGACUAAUCGAACAAAAUGUAAAAAAAGAAGGUUAGUAUAUUUCAGAGUUUGGUUGCUGCGUUGGUGGAGAGUGGUGGAAGGGAAACCCUGAGCAGCUUUUAAGCAGGGGUGGAAGGGGUUAGGCCUCGUGGGAUCCAACGCAUCAUGAGACACGUGGC
RNAcentral lists this long non-coding RNA (2384 nucleotides) under Gossypium raimondii (Peruvian cotton). Its description in RNAcentral is "long non-coding RNA (GRAI_LNC004175)". Lineage: Eukaryota; Viridiplantae; Streptophyta; Magnoliopsida; Malvales; Malvaceae. The record is from RNAcentral.